GUUGUAUGGUUAAGUGACUAAGCGUACACGGUGGAUGCCUGGGCAGUCAGAGGCGAUGAAGGACGUACUAACUUGCGAUAAGCGCAGAUAAGGCAGUAAGAGCCGUUUGAGUCUGCGAUUUCCGAAUGGGGAAACCCAACUGCAUAAGCAGUUACUGUUAACUGAAUACAUAGGUUAACAGAGCAAACCGGGGGAACUGAAACAUCUAAGUACCCCGAGGAGAAGAAAUCAACCGAGAUUCCGGUAGUAGCGGCGAGCGAACCUGGAUUAGCCCUUAAGCACUCGGUGAAGUAGGUGAACAAGCUGGAAAGCUUGGCGAUACAGGGUGAUAGCCCCGUAACCGACGCUUCAUCGAGCGUGAAAUCGAGUAGGGCGGGACACGUGAUAUCCUGUCUGAAUAUGGGGGGACCAUCCUCCAAGGCUAAAUACUCCUGACUGACCGAUAGUGAACCAGUACCGUGAGGGAAAGGCGAAAAGAACCCCUGUGAGGGGAGUGAAAUAGAACCUGAAACCGUGUACGUACAAGCAGUAGGAGCACCUUCGUGGUGUGACUGCGUACCUUUUGUAUAAUGGGUCAGCGACUUAUAUUCAGUGGCAAGGUUAACCGUAUAGGGGAGCCGUAGCGAAAGCGAGUCUUAACUGGGCGUUCAGUCUCUGGAUAUAGACCCGAAACCGGGUGAUCUAGCCAUGGGCAGGUUGAAGGUUGAGUAACAUCAACUGGAGGACCGAACCGACUAAUGUUGAAAAAUUAGCGGAUGACUUGUGGCUAGGGGUGAAAGGCCAAUCAAACUCGGAGAUAGCUGGUUCUCCCCGAAAGCUAUUUAGGUAGCGCCUCGGACGAAUACUACUGGGGGUAGAGCACUGUUAAGGCUAGGGGGUCAUCCCGACUUACCAACCCUUUGCAAACUCCGAAUACCAGUAAGUACUAUCCGGGAGACACACGGCGGGUGCUAACGUCCGUCGUGGAGAGGGAAACAACCCAGACCGCCAGCUAAGGUCCCAAAGUAUUGCUAAGUGGGAAACGAUGUGGGAAGGCUCAGACAGCUAGGAUGUUGGCUUAGAAGCAGCCAUCAUUUAAAGAAAGCGUAAUAGCUCACUAGUCGAGUCGGCCUGCGCGGAAGAUGUAACGGGGCUAAGCAAUACACCGAAGCUGCGGCAAUAUCUUUUAGAUAUUGGGUAGGGGAGCGUUCUGUAAGCCGUUGAAGGUGAAUCGUAAGGUUUGCUGGAGGUAUCAGAAGUGCGAAUGCUGACAUGAGUAACGACAAAGGGGGUGAAAAACCUCCUCGCCGGAAGACCAAGGGUUCCUGUCCAACGUUAAUCGGGGCAGGGUGAGUCGACCCCUAAGGUGAGGCCGAAAGGCGUAAUCGAUGGGAAACGGGUUAAUAUUCCCGUACUUCUGACUAUUGCGAUGGGGGGACGGAGAAGGCUAGGUGGGCCAGGCGACGGUUGUCCUGGUUCAAGUGCGUAGGCUUGAGAGUUAGGUAAAUCCGGCUCUCUCUAAGGCUGAGACACGACGUCGAGCUACUACGGUAGUGAAGUCAUUGAUGCCAUGCUUCCAGGAAAAGCCUCUAAGCUUCAGAUAGUCAGGAAUCGUACCCCAAACCGACACAGGUGGUCGGGUAGAGAAUACCAAGGCGCUUGAGAGAACUCGGGUGAAGGAACUAGGCAAAAUGGUACCGUAACUUCGGGAGAAGGUACGCUCUUGAUGGUGAAGUCCCUCGCGGAUGGAGCUGACGAGAGUCGCAGAUACCAGGUGGCUGCAACUGUUUAUUAAAAACACAGCACUGUGCAAAAUCGCAAGAUGACGUAUACGGUGUGACGCCUGCCCGGUGCCGGAAGGUUAAUUGAUGGGGUUAGCGCAAGCGAAGCUCUUGAUCGAAGCCCCGGUAAACGGCGGCCGUAACUAUAACGGUCCUAAGGUAGCGAAAUUCCUUGUCGGGUAAGUUCCGACCUGCACGAAUGGCGUAAUGAUGGCCACGCUGUCUCCACCCGAGACUCAGUGAAAUUGAAAUCGCUGUGAAGAUGCAGUGUACCCGCGGCUAGACGGAAAGACCCCGUGAACCUUUACUACAGCUUGGCACUGAACAUUGAACCUACAUGUGUAGGAUAGGUGGGAGGCUAUGAAGACGUGACGCCAGUUGCGUUGGAGCCGUCCUUGAAAUACCACCCUUGUAUGUUUGAUGUUCUAACUUAGACCCGUUAUCCGGGUUGAGGACAGUGCCUGGUGGGUAGUUUGACUGGGGCGGUCUNNNUCCUCCCAAAGAGUAACGGAGGAGCACGAAGGUGGGCUAAUCACGGUUGGACAUCGUGAGGUUAGUGCAAUGGCAUAAGCCCGCUUAACUGCGAGAAUGACGGUUCGAGCAGGUGCGAAAGCAGGUCAUAGUGAUCCGGUGGUUCUGUAUGGAAGGGCCAUCGCUCAACGGAUAAAAGGUACUCCGGGGAUAACAGGCUGAUACCGCCCAAGAGUUCAUAUCGACGGCGGUGUUUGGCACCUCGAUGUCGGCUCAUCACAUCCUGGGGCUGAAGUCGGUCCCAAGGGUAUGGCUGUUCGCCAUUUAAAGUGGUACGCGAGCUGGGUUUAGAACGUCGUGAGACAGUUCGGUCCCUAUCUGCCGUGGGCGUUGGAAGAUUGAAGGGGGCUGCUCCUAGUACGAGAGGACCGGAGUGGACGAACCUCUGGUGUUCGGGUUGUGUCGCCAGACGCAUUGCCCGGUAGCUAAGUUCGGAAUUGAUAAGCGCUGAAAGCAUCUAAGCGCGAAGCGAGCCCUGAGAUGAGUCUUCCCUGA
RNAcentral lists this ribosomal RNA (2786 nucleotides) under Vibrio cholerae. RNAcentral's name for it is "partial 23S ribosomal RNA". It matches the Rfam family "Bacterial large subunit ribosomal RNA". Lineage: Bacteria; Pseudomonadati; Pseudomonadota; Gammaproteobacteria; Vibrionales; Vibrionaceae. The record is from RNAcentral.